CGUGUAGGCGGAGAUGCAAGUCAGAUGUGAAAUCCCCGGGCUUAACCCGGGAACUGCAUUUGAAACUGUAUCCCUUGAGUAUCGGAGAGGCAGGCGGAGUUCCUAGUGUAGCGGUGAAAUGCGUAGAUAUUAGGAGGAACACCAGUGGCGAAGGCGGCCUGCUGGACGACAACUGACGCUGAGGCGCGAAAGCGUGGGAGCAAACA
This 206-nucleotide ribosomal RNA is filed under the name uncultured bacterium. RNAcentral's name for it is "partial 16S ribosomal RNA". It matches the Rfam family "Bacterial small subunit ribosomal RNA", at positions 568 to 774 of the family's 1533-position model. The record is from RNAcentral.